GACGAACGCUGGCGGCGUGCUUAACACAUGCAAGUCGAACGGAAAGGCCCUGCUUUUGUGGGGUGCUCGAGUGGCGAACGGGUGAGUAACACGUGAGUAACCUGCCCUUGACUUUGGGAUAACUUCAGGAAACUGGGGCUAAUACCGGAUAGGAGCUCCUGCUGCAUGGUGGGGGUUGGAAAGUUUCGGCGGUUGGGGAUGGACUCGCGGCUUAUCAGCUUGUUGGUGGGGUAGUGGCUUACCAAGGCUUUGACGGGUAGCCGGCCUGAGAGGGUGACCGGGCACAAGGGGACUACGAGACGGCCCAGACUCCUACGGGAGGCAGCAGUGGGGAAUAUUGCACAAUGGGCGGAAGCCUGAUGCAGCAACGCCGCGUGCGGGAUGACGGCCUUCGGGUUGUAAACCGCUUUCGCCUGUGACGAAGCGUGAGUGACGGUAAUGGGUAAAGAAGCACCGGCUAACUACGUG
This 468-nucleotide ribosomal RNA is filed under the name uncultured bacterium. RNAcentral describes it as "partial 16S ribosomal RNA". It matches the Rfam family "Bacterial small subunit ribosomal RNA", at positions 28 to 507 of the family's 1533-position model. The record is from RNAcentral.